GGGGAGCCGGUCCGUCCACAGUCUUGCCGUCAUCAUCCGGGCCCCAACUGGCACUGUAUAUGUGCACGUGCUGGGGGUUGAAGCUGACUGACUUUGCCUCCACCAUGUCUGUGACAUCCCCAUCCAGCAUUCUCACGCCUGCGAGACAAAAAGGAGGGCUGCCAUGAGGUGAGCAGUUAUUCACCAGCAAAAUAUCCUUCUGCAGUAUAGCCUGACUCAUGUCGGGCCCACAGCAAUAAAACCAGCAGACCAUGGACUAAAACCUCUCAAACUGUCACACAUCUUGAAGAUCACAGAAUUGUUUCCAGCCAACAUUCUGACCAUUUUCCUUGUUCAGUGCCCACCCAGGGGGUCAGACAGUGGAGACCCAGGAAGACCCACAAAGGCUUGUUAAAUUGCAAUGAGGAUCGACAACAUGGUCUCAUCUCAGGAGGACAAGGAAGUCUGUCCGGCUAAAUAAUUGUAACUCUUCUUCAUGGUCAAAAUCAUUAAAGUAUUGUCAUGAGCUUUUUUAAAGUAUUGUCAUAAGCUUUUUUUUUUUUU
This is a long non-coding RNA of Heterocephalus glaber (naked mole-rat), 543 nucleotides long. RefSeq lists it as uncharacterized. The record is from RefSeq and is a predicted model, not a curated record. NCBI's taxonomy places the organism in Eukaryota, Metazoa, Chordata, Mammalia, Rodentia, Bathyergidae.